This is a long non-coding RNA of Carassius auratus (goldfish), 402 nucleotides long. RefSeq lists it as uncharacterized. The record is from RefSeq and is a predicted model, not a curated record. The transcript is spliced from 4 exons. NCBI's taxonomy places the organism in Eukaryota, Metazoa, Chordata, Actinopteri, Cypriniformes, Cyprinidae.
GCAGGCCUGUCACCUGACACUUCAUUGUCACAUGACAUCAUGCACCUGCCAUGUUUGGAAUGAAGGUACAUGAGCAUUCAUUUCCAGCACAUUCCAUUCGGACUGCCAGCAUACAACUCAGCUGACUGUGAUUGCCUCUGAAGAAGUUCCCUGCCAGCACAUCAGCCGGGCUCUCUGAGCAAGUCCUCUUCACCGUCAUUCUGUCCAGAACUCACUGCAGUCUCCCGUGAAGAAAUCCAGAUCCUGCUGGUCGUUCUCUAUGGCUCUCCAGGUGAAAGGAAUCAAACAGAUGGAAGUGGAAGCAGUAUUGUAUGACAGCUGUGCUGUGGCUGUCUGGCACGACCGGUGGGCAGAGGGCUCCAUAUUUAGGAGCGAAAGGUGAGUGAGUCGCAGUCCCGCUGC